RNAcentral lists this ribosomal RNA (253 nucleotides) under uncultured bacterium. RNAcentral describes it as "partial 16S ribosomal RNA". It matches the Rfam family "Bacterial small subunit ribosomal RNA", at positions 524 to 776 of the family's 1533-position model. The record is from RNAcentral.
UACGUAGGGUGCAAGCGUUGUCCGGAAUUAUUGGGCGUAAAGAGCUCGUAGGCGGUCUGUCGCGUCGGCUGUGAAAACCCGGGGCUCAACCCCGGGCCUGCAGUCGAUACGGGCAGGCUAGAGUUCGGUAGGGGAGACUGGAAUUCCUGGUGUAGCGGUGAAAUGCGCAGAUAUCAGGAGGAACACCGGUGGCGAAGGCGGGUCUCUGGGCCGCAACUGACGCUGAGGAGCGAAAGCAUGGGGAGCGAACAGG